GACGAACGCUGGCGGCGUGCUUAACACAUGCAAGUCGAACGGAAAGGCCCUGCUUUUGUGGGGUGCUCGAGUGGCGAACGGGUGAGUAACACGUGAGUAACCUGCCCUUGACUUUGGGAUAACUUCAGGAAACUGGGGCUAAUACCGGAUAGGAGCUCCUGCUGCAUGGUGGGGGUUGGAAAGUUUCGGCGGUUGGGGAUGGACUCGCGGCUUAUCAGCUUGUUGGUGGGGUAGUGGCUUACCAAGGCUUUGACGGGUAGCCGGCCUGAGAGGGUGACCGGGGACGGUGGGGGGGAGGGAGGGGCGGGAGGGGGGGGGGGGGGGGGGGGGGGGGGGGGGGGGGGGUGGGCGGAAGCCUGAUGCAGCAACGCCGCGUGCGGGAUGACGGCCUUCGGGUUGUAAACCGCUUUCGCCUGUGACGAAGCGUGAGUGACGGUAAUGGGUAAAGAAGCACCGGCUAACUACGUG
This 468-nucleotide ribosomal RNA is filed under the name uncultured bacterium. RNAcentral describes it as "partial 16S ribosomal RNA". It matches the Rfam family "Bacterial small subunit ribosomal RNA", at positions 28 to 507 of the family's 1533-position model. The record is from RNAcentral.